CUGCUGUGUAAAAUGAAAGAAGGUUAGCACUCCCCCUAACAAGGAUGGAAGAAGCUUCGGGCCUGACAACACUCAUGAGGUUAAGGUACUGCCACCUACUUCACGACAUCUAACCACUAUUUUUG
Small nuclear RNA from Vicugna pacos (alpaca), 125 nucleotides. Lineage: Eukaryota; Metazoa; Chordata; Mammalia; Artiodactyla; Camelidae. The record is from RefSeq and is a predicted model, not a curated record.